This 1485-nucleotide ribosomal RNA is filed under the name metagenome. RNAcentral's name for it is "bacterial SSU rRNA". It matches the Rfam family "Bacterial small subunit ribosomal RNA". The record is from RNAcentral.
AGAGUUUGAUCAUGGCUCAGGAUGAACGCUAGCUACAGGCUUAACACAUGCAAGUCGAGGGGCAGCAUGGUCUUAGCUUGCUAAGGCCGAUGGCGACCGGCGCACGGGUGAGUAACACGUAUCCAACCUGCCGUCUACUCUUGGACAGCCUUCUGAAAGGAAGAUUAAUACAAGAUGGCAUCAUGAGUCCGCAUGUUCACAUGAUUAAAGGUAUUCCGGUAGACGAUGGGGAUGCGUUCCAUUAGAUAGUAGGCGGGGUAACGGCCCACCUAGUCUUCGAUGGAUAGGGGUUCUGAGAGGAAGGUCCCCCACAUUGGAACUGAGACACGGUCCAAACUCCUACGGGAGGCAGCAGUGAGGAAUAUUGGUCAAUGGGCGAGAGCCUGAACCAGCCAAGUAGCGUGAAGGAUGACUGCCCUAUGGGUUGUAAACUUCUUUUAUAAAGGAAUAAAGUCGGGUAUGCAUACCCGUUUGCAUGUACUUUAUGAAUAAGGAUCGGCUAACUCCGUGCCAGCAGCCGCGGUAAUACGGAGGAUCCGAGCGUUAUCCGGAUUUAUUGGGUUUAAAGGGAGCGUAGAUGGAUGUUUAAGUCAGUUGUGAAAGUUUGCGGCUCAACCGUAAAAUUGCAGUUGAUACUGGAUAUCUUGAGUGCAGUUGAGGCAGGCGGAAUUCGUGGUGUAGCGGUGAAAUGCUUAGAUAUCACGAAGAACUCCGAUUGCGAAGGCAGCCUGCUAAGCUGCAACUGACAUUGAGGCUCGAAAGUGUGGGUAUCAAACAGGAUUAGAUACCCUGGUAGUCCACACGGUAAACGAUGAAUACUCGCUGUUUGCGAUAUACAGCAAGCGGCCAAGCGAAAGCGUUAAGUAUUCCACCUGGGGAGUACGCCGGCAACGGUGAAACUCAAAGGAAUUGACGGGGGCCCGCACAAGCGGAGGAACAUGUGGUUUAAUUCGAUGAUACGCGAGGAACCUUACCCGGGCUUAAAUUGCAGAUGAAUUACGGUGAAAGCCGUAAGCCGCAAGGCAUCUGUGAAGGUGCUGCAUGGUUGUCGUCAGCUCGUGCCGUGAGGUGUCGGCUUAAGUGCCAUAACGAGCGCAACCCUUGUUGUCAGUUACUAACAGGUUCUGCUGAGGACUCUGACAAGACUGCCAUCGUAAGAUGUGAGGAAGGUGGGGAUGACGUCAAAUCAGCACGGCCCUUACGUCCGGGGCUACACACGUGUUACAAUGGGGGGUACAGAGGGCCGCUACCACGCGAGUGGAUGCCAAUCCCCAAAACCUCUCUCAGUUCGGACUGGAGUCUGCAACCCGACUCCACGAAGCUGGAUUCGCUAGUAAUCGCGCAUCAGCCACGGCGCGGUGAAUACGUUCCCGGGCCUUGUACACACCGCCCGUCAAGCCAUGGGAGCCGGGGGUACCUGAAGUGCGUAACCGCGAGGAGCGCCCUAGGGUAAAACUGGUGACUGGGCUAAGUCGUAACAAGGUA